AAACUUUCAGCAACGGAUCUCUUGGUUCUGGCAUCGAUGAAGAACGCAGCGAAAUGCGAUAAGUAAUGUGAAUUGCAGAAUUCAGUGAAUCAUCGAAUCUUUGAACGCACAUUGCGCCCGCCAGCACUCUGGCGGGCAUGCCUGUUCGAGCGUCAUUU
This 158-nucleotide ribosomal RNA is filed under the name Distoseptispora tectonae. Its description in RNAcentral is "5.8S ribosomal RNA". It matches the Rfam family "5.8S ribosomal RNA". Rfam says of the family: 5.8S ribosomal RNA (5.8S rRNA) is a component of the large subunit of the eukaryotic ribosome. It is transcribed by RNA polymerase I as part of the 45S precursor that also contains 18S and 28S rRNA. Lineage: Eukaryota; Fungi; Ascomycota; Sordariomycetes; Distoseptisporaceae. RNAcentral also lists the same sequence under 1 other name. The record is from RNAcentral.